CGUACACUCCUACGGGAGGCAGCAGUGAGGAAUAUUGGACAAUGGGUGGAAGCCUGAUCCAGCCAUCCCGCGUGCAGGAAGACGGCCCUAUGGGUUGUAAACUGCUUUUAUCUGGGGAUAAACCUACUUACGUGUAAGUAGCUGAAGGUACCAGAAGAAUAAGCACCGGCUAACUCCGUGCCAGCAGCCGCGGUAAUACGGAGGGUGCAAGCGUUAUCCGGAUUUAUUGGGUUUAAAGGGUCCGUAGGCGGACUGAUAAGUCAGUGGUGAAAUCCGACAGCUUAACUGUCGAACUGCCAUUGAUACUGUUAGUCUUGAGUAAGGUUGAAGUGGCUGGAAUAAGUAGUGUAGCGGUGAAAUGCAUAGAUAUUACUUAGAACACCAAUUGCGAAGGCAGGUCACUAAGUCUUAACUGACGCUGAUGGACGAAAGCGUGGGGAGCGAACAGGAUUAGAAACCCGGGUAGUCCCAUGA
RNAcentral lists this ribosomal RNA (474 nucleotides) under uncultured organism. RNAcentral describes it as "partial 16S ribosomal RNA". It matches the Rfam family "Bacterial small subunit ribosomal RNA", at positions 330 to 800 of the family's 1533-position model. The record is from RNAcentral.